Molecule: long non-coding RNA, 7921 nt
Filed under: Nicotiana benthamiana
Lineage: Eukaryota; Viridiplantae; Streptophyta; Magnoliopsida; Solanales; Solanaceae
Description: long non-coding RNA (NBEN_LNC032316)
Source: RNAcentral
UGGUCUCUCUCUUGCUCUUUUCGUCUCUGCCUUCUCUCUAGAACCUUCUGGUUCUCUUUUUCUUCUCAGAUGGUACUCAUUGCCUUUCCAGCCACCUCCACCGUUACUUCUCUUGACUACCAGUCACCAUAGAACCUUGUCUCAUUGCUUCUCUCUGAGCCGCGAAGCCCCAGAGACUUCCACCAUUAAAGGAUGUCCCUGGAAGCCUUGUUUGGCUUGUCUCCAGCCUUUCUCCUCUAGCUUUUGGUCCGAUGGUGCUACGUACUCCGUUAGUAAUAAGUUUCACAACCAGGCCUUACCUACUUGAUUUUAUUGCAAAACCCUAAUUUUUCAUAAGUCUUCUAAUCUCUGACUUUUUAAAAUGAUUUUCAAAUUAUUCUUUUUGUUUUACAAUACUCUCUACUCGAUUUCUUCGAUUACUCAGGUUUUUCAACAUUUUGUAAUCCUUUUCUAAGCUAGGGUUUCUGAAAAUUCCUUUCUUUGAAACACUUUAUGGAUUUAAGUGUUUAAUCUCGUAUGUAAAUGGUUUUUGACUGAUUUUAUUGAGUUCUUCCUAUACUAAAACCCCCAAUCAUUGAACUUUGUCUGGAUUCUGCACUCGUCUGUGGUAUUUGAUAUAUGCCUAUGUUCUGUGCUUUGAUUUACUUGAUUACUGCUUCGUUUCAUUAGAAUAUCAUGUGAUUUUUCCCUAGUAUGCCUCUAUAAGGAUUUCAGAUUCGAUUCUUUACAAUUUAUACUUGACUUAUUUGACUAUUCAUGGAAAUCUUUGUUAUUCUCAUUAAAUAAGUGUUAUUUCAAUUUUUUAUUCAUUGAAUUGUUACGGUAACACCUAUGUGCUGAUUCUCUAUUAUUUCAGUGUAUUUGCAACUUUAAUUAGUUUCUUACCUUAUUUUUAAUUAACCGUGUGACUUAUUGAUUGGUUUCCUUAAUUGAACCUUGGUGUAUUUACCCUUAAUUGUCUACGAUGUGCCCAAGUAAUUCUUGAUUUUCUUUUCUUAAAUAUGUUGUACUCUUAACCGUUGGCUAAUUACCCCUAAAUUAGGGGAAGGCAUGUUGAUUUCUAUUGCCUGAUUGAUUCUAUGGCUUCAUUGAUUGAGGAAGUUGAUUACCUUUACCUUAUUUUGCUCUGCCUUCAGCUACCAUAGUAUUCCUCCUCUCUUCUCACUUCAAACAUGAACAAAAUUCAUUAUGAACUCUCUCUCUUAUACAAAAUAUAUUCAGUGCUCUCUUUUGUUUCUACACAAUCUCUCUCACUUCUCUUGAGACUACUGGUUACUCAACUAGUUUGAAACCCAGGCUGAACUUUAGUCUACUAUACCGUUGUGUUGCUCUCUACGCCUUUGAUUGCUUUGGUCUGCUAUUGCUGUUCACUUCUCUGCAAUUGCUGCUCACUUAACUUCUAUUGCUGCUCACUUCUUUGCCUACUGCUGCUCUCUCUGCAUAUUGCUGCUCGCUCUCUUGAACACUAUUGCUCACCACUUUACAUAUUAUAACUCACUACUGCCCUGCAUUACCUUGCCAUUAACUAGUAUGUCUCUAAUUUGAUUUAGAGCUUCAAAACAAUAUGUUUCUAUUUGUAUUGCACUUUCUCUUAUUUCUGGUAUGUUUCUACUUAGGGUUUUGUUGUUCUUACUGCAAUUAGCAUGCCUCCAUGUUGAUUAAUAUGCCUAUCUUAAUCUAGCAUGCCCAUUACUCCUUUUGUCUGUCCCUUGCAUGUUCCUCCUUACCCCUAACCCUAGUACAUUUUUAGCAUGUAUUCAGGACCCUCUUAGCCACUAAGUAACUUGAACUUCUUCCUGAUGUGUGAAUCUGUUUGGUAUCUAUCAAUCUCAUGUUGUUUAAAACCUAUUUGAUCGUUAAUGUUUUGAAGUUCUUUUCUUUGAUGUUUGUGUAUAUGUAACUGUUUUAUCACUUGUGAGUUACUUAUCCCCCAUGUCCUCUGCCCCUGCUUGUGUUUGUCUUCCCUGAACCCUGUAGCCUCAUAUUGUCUUUUCUGCUGUUUUUCUCUCAAAACUGUUUUCAUGUUAAUCCUCUUUCAAAUGUUUUCAACUCAAUAUCUUUAAAACUCUAUCACAAUCUCGCUAUUCCUAGAAUUUAGGUUCUACCCCCUCGGUGUAAGCAUUGCCUUGGGUACCAACUAAACUUUGAUGCACAAGGGUGGUAAUUCCAUACUUCUAGUGAUUCAAUGUUAAUCUGUUUGGGUGCCUGGUAUUUUUCAGGGGCCCCAAUGGCCCCUUAGGGAGCUUUGCUGCAUCCCAAACAUUUGUAAAGGCUGUGAAACUCGAAAGAAGUAAGGUUGGAGAUUUGGGCCUGGUUGAAGGCUCCCUAUGGAUUAACUUCUUAUUUUAACUCUUCAUUACUGUAAUCUAAUCGCAUUGUUCUGUAGUAACUUGUAAUGAAGAAUGCGAGUUUAUAGUGAAAAUGGGAGGGAUAUGCAUGCUUACUUUAAGGGUACAGGUAGAAAACCUGUUCGUAUGAUUUUUCUUAUUUGUACAAUAGACAUCCUAUCUUGGGCAUGCAUCUCACAUGACUAGAAAUCCUGUUUUAGGUUUUUUUACUUUUAUUUUGUCAUCAUAAUCGGUUAAUAACUAACAAGUCACUAUUUUUGCUACUGCAUUUAUAUACCAUAUAUUAGGACCCUUAUGUGCAUUAGAUAUCAUGUAUUUAGGGCUUUGUUUUCAAUUUCUUGAAUGCCUCACUAGUUUUGUCUAACAACACAAGUCUGGUUAACAAUUUCCUUCAAAUUGGAAACCAAAUAUGCAUGUCCACUCUCAUUUAUGAUCAAACAAUGCCUAGGCAAGCAUUAGACUGGAUAAAAUUGAUUAAUCAUAUUCUCAUCAGUUUCAGACUACUUAGCCUCUUAACUUUCUGAAUUUUGCUUUUCUGAAAGUUUUCUAUUGAACUCCGCCCUUUUUUGAGAAAAUAACAUCUAUAUAUUUUUUCUACUAGUUAACUGUGCUGUCCAGAAUUAUGCUACUAUUUUCUAAAACUUAUCAAAAUAUUGCAUCUAUAACGUCUCUAGUACAAUUUGCAAAUUAGAUUUAGAUUAUUUCCUAUAUACUUCUCUCAUUUAAAAUUACACUUCUAAAAUUCCGAAUAAUUUUGCAUCUGUUUUCUACCACUCCUGUCCCAAUCUGUGCUAUUUUUGUUUUAUCAAAAUAUUAAAUCUUUGAUACCUUUACUAUAUAUUCUCAAGUGUGUUUUAAAGUGUCUCUUAUUGAUUCCAAAACUGCUAUAUACUUACUGCCAUUAUUUCGACCAAACUUUCUACUUUCUGUCCAAUUUUCGAAAAUCUAUCUUCGACAGUCUUGCCUUUUAAAUUCUCAUUUUUUAGACCUUCAAUGUGUUUGAGACGUGAUAAUUAUAUGCCUAUCUAUAGAGGGAUGUUUGAGCCUUUUACAUGCUCUUUGUAUGGUUCCAUUUUGUGUAGUCUUAUUUGUUAUGUAUGUCGCUUAGCAUUUUGACCUUUAAACCUAAGGGUUCAGCCUAGUCCUUAUAUUAAAGGAAUAGUGGUCCUAAAUACCCCAUAUGACCUAUAAGACGGGAUGGGUAAUAGCAUGCAACAAGCAUUCUUGACCAAUCCACACGUUUAAAUGACCUUUACGGGACGGAAAAGGUAGAAUGUGGAGACGAUGACCGGUGCCCUAGUAUCAUAUGCGACCCCUCUCCUGAGGAGUGUGUGCUGGGUAUUAUAUCGAUGUGAUCCGUAAUGUAGUUAUACCUAGGACCUCUUUCCCCAUUUCUUUAUUUCUAUAAAUUUUUUCUUAAAUUUAUGUUAUUCUUCCAAUUAAUCCUUCUCUUUUAAAAUCACUUAUGUCCUUUCCUUUCCUUUCAAAAAUUUUAAAUUUUGUUUGUAACUAAUAUGUGCGAACUCAGGUUUUCUUUUAAAAAGUCUUCUUCUUUUCUUUAAAAGUGUCCUAAUGCACUAUAAUCAUUAGGUGGCGACUCUUCAAAUUCCAUAGCCCAUUUCCUCAAAAAGGAAUAAGAGUUGUUUUUCCCAUAAUGUUGUAAACCUAAUUUCGCUUCUUUUAGGAGGAAAAAGGGGCGUCGACAGAAAGGCAGAAGAGAAUUAGAGAGAUAAUUUUGGGGAUUUAAAUGGGCAUUUGAUGUCAGCUAUUAAUGAUUUUGGUAUGUAUAGACUCGUGAGAGGAUAAGUAUUCUAUUGAUGUAAUUUUUAUUGGAUUCCGAUACGUGCUCCCGUGGGGUCGAGUUUGGCCAAUUUUGGGAUUCUUGGUGUAAAUUGGUUAUUUUUGAGUGAGCUUUGUGCCCUUAGCAUAUUUUGAUGGUAUGAAUCUGUUUUUGGUUAGAUUUGGAGCAUUCGAAGGCUGAGUCGAGAGGCAAAGGCAUCGCGGGCUAGAGUUUGGACCAGAUUGAGUUGAGUUUGAUUGCAAACGUUGUCCAAGGGUAUGAAACCCCAGAUUUCACAUUGUUAUGCUACUUUGAGGUGACGAACAUGCUAGAUAACAAGCGUGGGGUCGUGCACCAUUGGGGAUUGUGAGUUAGUCCAUCCCGUAUGACUGUUAAGUUGCGUAUUUGAUUGAAAACUAUUUGAUAUCAUUGUGUUUUGGAAAUUAUAAUCAUUUUUGGGCCGAAUGCCAUAUUUGGACGUCGUGCCAACUAUUUUGGACCCUUAGGGGAUAUUUACUACUAUUGCUCACAAUUUUAACUUCAUAUUUGUACUCAGGCAUGUUGUAUUCUACUCUUUUCAUAACUCAGCCAUAUUUACUCAUUUUUGAUAUUUUAAAUGAUAUUUUGGUCGGAGAAUCAUGUUUUACUAUUGCCUAAGUGGCUUGAAAGAUUUCUGAUUGAGUGAGGCCAAGGGCUUGUGUUAUGAGAAUAUUAUGGGAUCGGUCUGUUCGUCGCACCAGAGUUGUACUAAUUCAUAAUUUUAUGGCCGAGGGCCUAAUUUUGUAUGCCACGAGGUGGCUCAUUAUGAGCUGAGGCCUUUUUUAUAAUGCCACUAGAUUGCUUGUUAUUGCGCUUUGGCUGUAGGAGCCCCUCCAGGAGUCUGUACAGCCCCAGUUAGUGUGGGUAACCAAUGUGAAUGAUAUGAUGUAGCCCGAGGGGCUGUUGUUGUUUCAUCUUGUUACCCGAGGGGCUAUUCUUAAUUCAUAUUUUUCCCGAGGGGAUGUUUCCGUUUCUAUUAUUUUUUACUCACUAUUUCAUCACUCGUUUGAAAGUAGUGAAAGUUGUUUUAAAAGGUUUUACCUAAAACCGAGCAUGAUAUACAAAGUAAAUGAUUUUUGUACUGUGUUGGAAAUGUCCUGUAUUUGUUGUAGCAUUUUGACAUGGUUUACAUGUUUUCUUACUGCUCAUCUUUCAUUUACUUUUAUUAUUUACAUAGUUGUCGUACUCACAUUACUUUCUUCAUCUUGUGUGUGAUUUAGGUAUUUUAGAACUCUGUAGCGAGUGUUAAUUACUCAGUGGCAGAGUCAUCAGAGUUAUCAAGGUAGCUUCCUGACAUUUGCAACCGUGCUCUUCUCCCUCUUGUCUUCAUUAGAUUGUUUUUAGACUCUUGAUUCUAUUCUGACCUCAAUAGAUGCUCGUGACUUGUGACACCCCGAUGUCAGAAUUGUGUAUUUAUUCUGCACUGUUAAUUUAGACUAACAUUAUGAGGUUUUUUUAUUAAGUAAAGGCUUAAAAAUACCUUUUAUUGAUUAAUCUUAACAGAAGAGUUGUGUAGGCUGGCCUAGUUUCGCGAUAGGUCCAUCACGACCGGGUCGAUUUUAGGGUCAUGAAAAGUUGGUAUCAGAGCCUAUGGUACAUAGGUUUCAUGGGUCAUGAGCAGGCUUAGUAGAGUCUCAGAGAUCGGUAUGGUGGCGUCUGUACUUAUCCUCGGGAGGCUGCAGAACUUUUAGGAAAAACUUUGCAUUCUUGAAUUCUUAUCGUGCAUCCUUGUAUCAGCUUGAAAUGUACUUUGAUUUCCUUCCGUGCAUUCAUAUGCAUGCAUGAACGCUCUUUAUUGAUUGUGCAUUGACGGCUUGUGAUUACUUGAUCGAGGGGCGAGAUGUGACCUAUGUGUGUUGAUGUUAGGCCAGUCUGGAGGACAUGAGAUCGGGCCUUGCCUGUAGCUUAAACCUUGAGCUGUUCAUUAAGGGAAGUAAUGACUGUAUAGUUACGUGAUGAGUGUGAUGUGACUGUGAGAUGUGUUCAUUUGAGUUGAAUGAGACGGAAGGGUCUACUUGUGGGUAGCAAGAACUAUCUAGUGCUUUAUUUCCAUCAUGAUUUGGUGUAUAGCCCCGAGUUGUGUGUGUGUGUUGAAGGAUAUUUUCAUGUUUCGAGUUAGGUAGUGAAGUAGAUUUCACGUUGUGAUAAGAGUUUGGAAUCAGGAAGAUUAAAUGUAUGAGUAAUGUUUAUGAAUGUGGAAGGGUAUAAAGAGAUGUUUGUUUGAGGUGAAUCUAGUGGGUUAUCUCCUGCAGAGUGUUUUGAAGUUUGUGUGAUCCUUAUGUUGUUUCUUGGAAGAUCUGUUUUGCCAGCAAAAUAUAUGUGUUAAAAUUUUAAUUUGGGUCUCUUAAGAGAGUGAGCUUGACUGUUACGAGGGUGAAUCCGAGAUUUGUGGAACAUUUGAAGUACUAGAUGGUCUGUGUUUCACGGGCUUAUAAAGGAUUGAGUUUAAUCUCACUAUAUUGUGGCGGUAAUAGAGUAUAUGCAUUUUGAGGUAUUGUGUGUUUUGAUCUACGACUUUGAGCCAGUUGGGGAGCUUACUAUUGAUUAGUUCAUUACACGGUUAUGUGCUAUGUUGUUUCCAGUUUAACGCAUAUUGGUAAAUCUCUUGUGGCUUACGGAGUAUGGUGCAUAGAACAUGAAGUUGCUCGGUUGCAUUAAGGUGUGUUUACAUUCUGCGGCACUGGAGUGCCAAUAGAGCACAGGUCAUCCAGUUUGUUUGAUAGUUCUAAUUGUGGUUUUAUUAGAGUGGAUGACUCGCGGGAAUGGUUCUAAUGGGUUCACGAUUUUACAUGUAAUAAGUGGAUAUUUAGGUUGUAUAUUUGGCUAGAAACCGAGAUUUGCAUUGGAGGGUGCCAAAACUUGUGGUAUUUCUAUAUCAUUAUGGAUUCUAGGUAUCAGUAUCAGGGAGGUGAAGGUAAUGGCUUUAGAAUUGUAGGAAGCUAUGGGUAAACUUAAUCUACAAAAAAAUUCGGAAUGCAGGCACGUGGGCAUGAGGGCAUUUUUGUCAACCUUUUGAUCGGGGUUAGGAAUUGUUAUAAAUUGGAUUGUAAUGAGUAAUUAAGCAUAUAUUAAUGGAUUAGCAUCAUUAUUGGAUAAUUUUGGAGCAUUUAGCAUCGACUCAAGUCUUCGGAAGAGCGUGAAAUGCUAGUUAUGGAUUUUCGGAGCGAGGUGAGUCUCCUUUCUAAUCUUGUAAUAGGGAAUUUUUCCCAUAGGUAAAAUAAAUGGUUAUGUGCUUCUAUUUGUGGGGGCUUCGUGCGCACGAGGUGACAAAAGUCCGUACAUAGCUACUAAUAUGUGCAAGUCCUAGUAGUCUAUGACCCAAAAAUAUGCUAUACUUGGAAUAUCUGUAAUCUUAUUGACAGUUGAAUUUCUUAAAUCCCAUCGAAUUGAUAUAUGAAUUUCCAAAAGAUUAAACUUUAUUUUCUUAAAAUUGUUAAGUGAGAUUCGGCUUUUAUUUGGAUAAAUGUUCCCCAAUAAAUUCUUAAUUGGCUGAUUGAGCAUGUAUUUCUAUGUUUACAUACAUCGCAUAUAUGAUUCGCGCGAAGGGUGAUUGUUUAUUUAAAUUUUAUCGUGUUGCAGGUAUGAUUCAUGAGCGAGGUAAUAGAUGCAUCUAUGGUUCAUGCCGUCCGAUCCUCGGCAGUGCACAUUUUACAAUUCUAUUGGAUCGGGCUGUACGACCUCGCCAUGAUUUGCGCACGCUUAUAUUGUUUACAUGAGAAUUUUAUAUUUUGAUAAUUGCCUUUCCUAGCCAGAG